UACGUAGGGGACAAGCGUUGUCCGGAUUUAUUGGGCGUAAAGAGCGUGUAGGCGGCUUGGUAGGUCUCGCGUCAAAACCUGAGGCUCAACCUCAGUUCGCGUGGGAAACCACCUAGCUAGAGUCCGGAAGAGGAGAACGGAAUUCCCAGUGUAGCGGUGAAAUGCGCAGAUAUUGGGAAGAACACCAGUGGCGAAGGCGGUUCUCUGGGACGGUACUGACGCUGAGACGCGAAAGCGUGGGGAGCGAACAGG
RNAcentral lists this ribosomal RNA (252 nucleotides) under uncultured bacterium. RNAcentral's name for it is "partial 16S ribosomal RNA". It matches the Rfam family "Bacterial small subunit ribosomal RNA", at positions 524 to 776 of the family's 1533-position model. The record is from RNAcentral.